Molecule: ribosomal RNA, 263 nt
Filed under: Klebsiella aerogenes
Lineage: Bacteria; Pseudomonadati; Pseudomonadota; Gammaproteobacteria; Enterobacterales; Enterobacteriaceae
Also listed under: 2 other names
Description: partial 23S ribosomal RNA
Rfam family: Bacterial large subunit ribosomal RNA
Source: RNAcentral
GACUAAGCGUACACGGUGGAUGCCCUGGCAGUCAGAGGCGAUGAAGGACGUGCUAAUCUGCGAAAAGCGUCGGUAAGGUGAUAUGAACCGUUACAGCCGGCGAUGUCCGAAUGGGGAAACCCAGUGCAAUUCGUUGCACUAUCGUUAACUGAAUACAUAGGUUAACGAGGCGAACCGGGGGAACUGAAACAUCUAAGUACCCCGAGGAAAAGAAAUCAACCGAGAUUCCCCCAGUAGCGGCGAGCGAACGGGGAGCAGCCCAG